CACAGUGAUUAAAUUAAAUUAGAUUAAUUAAAAUGGAGAACAUCGCGGCGCAGCUGAAGCGGGGGAUAUCGCGGCAGUUCUCCACGGGGUCGCUGAAGCGGACUCUCAGCCGCCAGUUCACCCGCCAAUCCUCGCUCGACCCCAAGAGGAACAACUUGCGCUUCAGCUUCGGCAGGCAGUCCUCCCUCGACCCCAUCCGCCGCAGCCCUUCCCACGACGAUGACGACGAAGUCGAUCUCUCCGUCCCCGAGAAUCUCGACUCCACCAUGAACCUCCUCUUCCUCGCCUGCCGCGGCGACGUCCACGGCGUCGAGGACGUCCUCAAUCAAGGCAUCGACGUCAACAGCAUCGAUUUGGACGGCCGUACGGCGCUCCAUAUCUCUGCCUGCGAGGGCCACGUCGAGGUCGUUAGGCUGUUGCUCUCCCGCAAGGCCAAUAUCGAUGCUCGUGAUCGCUGGGGCAGCACGGCAGCUGCAGAUGCCAAGUAUUACGGGAACACGGAAGUUUACAACAUUCUGAAGGCACGUGGAGCCAAAGUUCCGAAAACCAGGAAGACACCAAUGACUGUUGCGAAUCCUCGAGAAGUUCCAGAGUAUGAGCUCAAUCCGUUAGAGCUUCAAGUUCGAAAGAGCGAUGGUAUCACAAAGGGAUCGUAUCAAGUGGCUAAAUGGAAUGGUACAAAGGUGUCUGUAAAGAUACUUGACAAGGAUUGCUACACGGACCCUGAAAGCAUUAAUGCCUUCAAACAUGAGCUGGAGUUGUUAGAGAAGGUUCGGCAUCCUAAUGUCGUUCAAUUUGUUGGUGCUGUCACCCAAAAUAUACCGAUGAUGAUUGUGUCAGAGUAUCAUUCAAAAGGUGACUUGGGAAGCUAUCUUCAAAAGAAAGGGCGCUUAUCUCCAUCAAAAGCCCUAAGAUUUGCUCUUGACAUUGCAAGGGGCAUGAAUUAUCUUCAUGAAUGUAAACCAGACCCAAUAAUCCACUGUGAUUUAAAGCCAAAAAAUAUUUUGCUCGAUAAUGGAGGUCAACUGAAAGUAGCUGGAUUUGGCUUGAUACGGUUGUCAAAAAUCUCACCUAACAAAGCAAAACUAGCACAGCCUUGGGCUGACACUGACCUUUCAAAUUUAUAUGUGGCACCUGAGAUCUACAAAGAUGAAAUUUUCGACAGAAGUGUGGAUGCAUACUCUUUCGGUCUUAUAUUAUAUGAGAUGAUUGAGGGAAUACAACCAUUCCAUCCCAAGCCUAUUGAAGAAUCUGUGAAGCUGAUGUGUUUGGAAGGAAAAAGACCGCAGUUGAGGACCAAAUCAAAAAGUUAUCCCCCUGUACUGAAAGAGUUGAUUGAGGAAUGCUGGGAUCCAGAACCUGUUAUGAGACCCAUUUUCUCUGAGAUUAUUGUACGCUUGGACAGGAUAGUUGCGAAUUGCUCAAAGCAGGGAUGGUGGAAAGACACGUUUAAGCUUCCUUGGAAAUAAGAGGAGGCAGUCUCAGUUCCAUCGCAAAACGAAUAGAGGAAAGGACUUGGGGGUAGACUAGCUGCUCGGGCCUUGACGUUGCAGUGUAAUUAAUAAUCAAGAGGGAGGGCUUUGGAUUAGAGUAAGCAAUCGGGUCAGCCUACGUAAAAACGAAAAAGAAACGAUCUAUAAAGUGAUGUUAUUGUACGAUCUGUAAAGUGUAUAGGAGAAGAGAAGAAGAAGCCUUUCUGAAGUUGCUUUUCCUUUGGGUGAAGAUGGAGCCCAUAACGUAGACAAAUUAACCACAUGUGUGAGUAAAUUGGUAAUGUCAUCCAAUCAUAUUAGAUUAAUUGUCUUCGUACGUGAUCGAUACUUUGCUUAUGGAAUUAUUCAGUCUGAAUUACCGUUUUAUCCGAAUUAAUCGAGCAUUUUCAUACAACGUUCAUGGGUCAAAAAGGCAACCACUUUGUAAAUGUAAUAUGGAAGGCAGGUUCCUUCAAGUUGAAGGGGACGACUAAUCCAAUAUCUUGCUUGUAUCCUUA
RNA transcript from Malus domestica (apple), 1990 nucleotides. It is a transcript of the gene named integrin-linked protein kinase 1-like, with no coding region annotated. The record is from RefSeq and is a predicted model, not a curated record. Lineage: Eukaryota; Viridiplantae; Streptophyta; Magnoliopsida; Rosales; Rosaceae.